UGAAGGUGAUUUGCCUGCACUAUUUGCCACCUCUUUGAUCACCAGAGUUGAAACUGCUGAUCUGUUGCCUAGACCAGUGUUUCCUUUCUCCCUCA
This is an unclassified non-coding RNA of Mandrillus leucophaeus (drill), 95 nucleotides long. Its record names the gene 7SK. It matches the Rfam family "7SK RNA". From Rfam's summary of the family: 7SK was discovered as an abundant small nuclear RNA in the mid-70s but a possible function has only recently been suggested. Two independent studies have found that 7SK RNA binds the CDK9/cyclin T complex (known as elongation factor P-TEFb). NCBI's taxonomy places the organism in Eukaryota, Metazoa, Chordata, Mammalia, Primates, Cercopithecidae. The record is from Ensembl.